This 137-nucleotide ribosomal RNA is filed under the name uncultured bacterium. RNAcentral describes it as "partial 16S ribosomal RNA". It matches the Rfam family "Bacterial small subunit ribosomal RNA", at positions 355 to 509 of the family's 1533-position model. The record is from RNAcentral.
UGGGGAAUAUUGCACAAUGGGAGAAAGCCUGAUGCAGCGACGCCGCGUGAGCGAAGAAGUAUUUCGGUAUGUAAAGCUCUAUCAGCAGGGAAGAAAAUGACGGUACCUGACUAAGAAGCCCCGGCUAACUACGUGCC